This 505-nucleotide long non-coding RNA is filed under the name Numida meleagris (helmeted guineafowl). RNAcentral describes it as "lncRNA (ENSNMEG00000000513.1)". Lineage: Eukaryota; Metazoa; Chordata; Aves; Galliformes; Numididae. The record is from RNAcentral.
UGUAAAUAGGAGUUAAGAACCCCUGCUGAACCUGAGGCAUGGUUAACAUUACGGUAACUCAAUAUGACAUUAAGCAAUCUCAUGGAUUAAGGCUGAGAUUAUUCUUGACUAGUUACAGAGAUGAACAAAACUCCUGAAUAGUAAUGAUAGAACAAAAGUUCGUCAAAAUGUGAAGUUCCAGGUCACCUGCAAUUCUGUGACAAAGCUGCAUGUCCUUAAGUGCAAAAAAUUCUUCCAAUGUUAUAAUUACAGUAAGGGUGUGGGCCCGUGGGUCCCCCGUCCCCUUUGUCACAGAACCAGGCCAAACGCCUGUAAACCGUUGACAACUUCUGUUCAGUGCCACUGAACCUGCCCACAAGCAUGGACCCUAUUUGCAGCAAUGAUACAUACAUCUCAAGCUUGAAAGUUAGGUAUGAACUUGACAAAGUUUAAAUGUUUUCUGACUACAGUCACCCAGAGAAAACUAGUGACCAGAAAUCUGCUCAUUAUCUCUCAUCAUCUUGCA